UACGUAGGGUGCGAGCGUUGUCCGGAAUUACUGGGCGUAAAGAGCUCGUAGGUGGUUUGUCGCGUUGUUCGUGAAAACCCGGGGCUCAACUCCGGGCCUGCAUUCGAUACGGGCAGACUAGAGUUCGGUAGGGGAGACUGGAAUUCCUGGUGUAGCGGUGAAAUGCGCAGAUAUCAGGAGGAACACCGGUGGCGAAGGCGGGUCUCUGGGCCGAUACUGACGCUGAGGAGCGAAAGCGUGGGGAGCGAACAGG
Molecule: ribosomal RNA, 253 nt
Filed under: uncultured bacterium
Lineage: Bacteria
Description: partial 16S ribosomal RNA
Rfam family: Bacterial small subunit ribosomal RNA
Source: RNAcentral